Long non-coding RNA from Labrus mixtus (cuckoo wrasse), 289 nucleotides. RefSeq lists it as uncharacterized. The transcript is spliced from 2 exons. The record is from RefSeq and is a predicted model, not a curated record. NCBI's taxonomy places the organism in Eukaryota, Metazoa, Chordata, Actinopteri, Labriformes, Labridae.
UGAAGAUAGGACUCUGAAAACUCUGAAAACAUCACAGACAGUGGGACUCUGGUGUUACACCCAUUGUAGACAGUCAUGACUCACAGGCUGUAUCCGAAUUGCCAAGUACCUACUCAGUCUGUCAGUAGGCAGUACCUACUAUCCGUGCUGUAUACUGUUAGUACCUACUAUUCAGUAUGCACACACAGUAGGCAGAUAUUUGUUCCUACUUCGUCUGAUUCAUUCAGUAUGGAAGUGACGUCAUUUAUGUUACCCGAACCGGCCGCAUCCACCCGUGUUUUUAUUUUUU